GGGUGCGAUCAUACCAGUACUAAUGCAUCGGACCCCAUCAGAACUCUGAAGUUAAGCGUGCUUGGGCGAGAAUGGUACUAAAACGAGCAUUGUCGCCGAACCCC
This 104-nucleotide ribosomal RNA is filed under the name Cephalotus follicularis. The record is from RNAcentral. Lineage: Eukaryota; Viridiplantae; Streptophyta; Magnoliopsida; Oxalidales; Cephalotaceae.